Long non-coding RNA from Homo sapiens (human), 4630 nucleotides. Lineage: Eukaryota; Metazoa; Chordata; Mammalia; Primates; Hominidae. The record is from Ensembl.
GAGGUUCCUGCGGUCUCCUCCUGGCUGCCACCCCUGUCCGUCUCUCCGGGUUACUCUCCAGGGAGCCGGGAGCCGCUUCAGGUUGCAAUCUGCGAUGCAACGGCGCCUUUGUUUGACUCCAGCCUUGUUUUGCCUCAUACCUUAUCCUCCUAUUUAGAGUACCUCAGCACCUCAUGGGCUCCGCUUCACCAGUUCCUCAAUCAGUCAAUGCCUCUGACUUCUAGCCGCCAUCCCUCCCAGUGGAUACUUUAAGCAGGCAAGCAAACCAAACAAACGCCCAGCACGCUUGCAUGCAGCAAUCUCCGUUUUCCGGUCUUUGGUCGCAUGACUUGACCUCAGCGUAUCCCCUACACUUGAUCUUCACACACAGCUUCAUAGGUUAAGACACUUUUUUUCCAGAGAAAUCAUACUUUCUAUCUGCGAUUGUGGAACUGCGAUUGCUCUAAGCCCUUGAAAACAGUUUCCUCACCAUGAAAGCUUGGGCCAAAAAUUAGAAGUGAAACCCAGCCCUCCCUCUGUCUUCUACUCUUGGCCUACCUUGGCCCUAUACUUUAUCAUCCAUAAACCAAAACAGUCGCCUGGCCUGACAAUGUUUGAUCGGGGAAGUUUGAGUUGGGGAAUUAACCUACAACCUGACAGAAUGAGGCCCGCCCGUCUCUAACAGAGUUCAAAACCUCCUGAAGAUGAAAGUAACUUCAAAACUAACUCAGACCAUUUUAACGGUUUUGCUUACAAUUACCAGAACUACAUUUCUUUGAAAAUUUGAUUUAGCAAUCGUAAACAAGCUGUACUGUUUGCUGACUAUAGCGUAUCUACUGGCAAGUUACCAGUAUUAAUGUGUUGUCCAUAACAAACCUCGGAUUAAUGUUAUUGUUAAUCUGUUUAAUUGAAGAGUUUAACUUCAUAUCUAACUUCAUCUACUAUGAAAUCAGUUACCUUCAGGAAGCAGGAUUCCUCCUACUCUCCACUCACAUGAAGGACCAGUGUCUGUUUUGGAGGCAUGGAGUUGGAAAUGAGUUGGAGAGAUGACGGUAACAGUAGCUUCUAAAUAUGAACCUGAUGCUUAUACAACCAUUAUACCAAAAGUAAAGGUAGCUGUUUAAUUCCUUUCUGUGGAGCAUGGAAGAUUCUUUCUAUUUGCAUAUGCAAUAGGCCAUUCAUAGUUGAAUUUGAAUAUGUAAUAGGCCAUUCAUAGUUGAUAGCCUUGGGAAAAUGAACUAAUUUCUUUACAUCUGCAUAUCCUCUUAUAUAAAAGGGGAUACAAGCAUUCAACAUCCAAGGCUGCUAUGAGGACCAGGUGCAAAGAAGACCUUUUAACACAUAUUGACCCCUCCUCUGCUUCCUGAUUUUCUAAAUUAUCCAUUUGUAACACACUUAUUCUCUUAAGGUUGUCCUUGAUAUUUCUUUUUAGACUAAUUUUAUCUGCACAAUUUUAGGGACUAAAAAGGAGAAUGUACAACAUAGUUUGUCCAGAAACACGAGUAGAUGACUCUUCUUACAGUCAAAUUUUGUAGUCCAUAAAACAUGCAAAAUAUUUAGUCUAUGACAAUUUCAGAGCAAUGAGACACAGUAGAUUCAACCAUAAUUGAAAUCAAAAUAAUUACCACAGAGAUGUAUUAUUUUUUGCCAUAUCCUCAGAAUAGUAAAUCUUUUAAGGCAACUGUAGACACUAGUUAAUUUCCUAUGAGAGAAUGUUCUCUGUGACAUUUAUAAUAAAAUCUUCCUUACUAAACUCUACUUAUUCUCAAUGAUAUGUUUUUUUUUUAUGAAAUAAAUGUGGCAUUCUCAACCAAAGUUAGGAAAGCAUAAUAAUUAUGUUUCUCUUUAAAUUAAGCUGCUUUCCAUCCCAAAAGCAAAUACACAGUCCUAUUAGGCAACCUGGGACAUAAAGGGGCCAUUUGGUGUCUUGUGUAACAGACAAAGACAACUGCAGGGCAGCCAAAAGACAGAUUUAUAUCCUGUUAAGAAUAGCAGGAAAUAUUUUAGUUUACAGCAGUAUGACACCACUUGUCGUUUCCUUAGGCAUACAAGACAAGUCAACUCAAGCCUGUGGAUUUUUUGGGUGAAUGGAAAUAACUCCCUUCUGUGCUUGUUUUUCACUGGAAUGCUGACAUGUGCAAUGCUUGAAAAUUCAGAUCAUCCAGAGUUUACCCUGGCACUUGUAAAGAAGAAACUAUUUCAGCAGUACUGCAGUGUCCAUUUUCAAGUGAGCAAAAGUGUAGUAUGGUAGAUGUAGAGAAGAGAAAUCACGAUUACCUGUUAUUUUUCUUAAACUCAGCAGAAAUAGUAGAAGAGAACAAUCAAGAAAUACUAUCCCUUCUAUUAAAACACUAGAAUGUAGACAACUUAUAAAUUUUAGAUUAAAAUUCUUCAUACAGAUCACUAGUUCUCCACAAAUGUGAACCUUUCCAAGUCUGUGACUGUGGAAAUACUUUGGUCAUUCAAGGGCUGUGGCUGUGAGCUAUAUGUAUGUUGUCUGCGUGAGCAAAAAUGCUGCCCAGUGAAAAAUCAAGUGGAAUAUGGAGGAAUAAUUGGCAGUAAAGAUAACUGUUUGCUGAGUGCCUAAGAUGUGCCAAGCAACUUAAACUCUGUUUGGUUAGGGUUAAGGUAGUCGCUAAUUAUAAAAUUGAGCUGUGGAACCCUGUUAGGGAAAGAAGUUGUUUCAAUGUUGGAGUCAGUGAGGUGCCGCUUGUCGGAGAGGUCCCGCUUGUCAGAGAGGUCCCUUGAGUUCCAUAAUUUUCUUUAGUUCUGAAUGAAUCCCUGGUUUGUUUGUUUUGUUUUAUUCAAAACUUAUAUGUCUCACAUGUCUCUCAGGCUGGAUUUUCUAGGAAGCAUAUGCCAUAUUUAAUGUCUUUAAAACAUGCAUUCUGUCUGACCUUACAUUAACUUUAGGAUACAUUUUUUUCUAUAGGCCAGGAACAUUGCUCAAUAUUUUCAACUAUGACUUUCAGUAAAAAUGCAGAAACAUUUUUAUAGUGGAUGAUUUUUAUACUUUCAUCAAUGCUGAGAGUUGAAAGACAAUCUUUUUUUUUUUCUUUUCUUUUUUUUUUUUUUUUGAGAUGGAGUCUCACUCUUUUGCCCAGGCCGGACUGCAGUGGCGCUAUGUCGGCUCACUGCAAGCUCCACCUCCCGGGUUCACGCCAUUCUCCUGCCUCAGCCUCCCAAGUAGCUGGGACUACAGGUGCCCACCACCGCGCCCGGCUAAUUUUUUUUUUGUAUUUUUAGUAGAGACGGGGUUUCACCAUGUUAGCCAGGAUGGUCUCGAUCUCCUGACCUCGUGAUCCGCCCACCUCGGCUUCCCAAAGGUCUGGGAUUACAGGCGUGAGCCACCGCGCCCGGCUGGGUUGAAAGACAAUCUUAACACCGAGAAGGCAUUUUUGAAAUGGGAGAUUUUAAUAAUGUGGUUCAAGUGUAUUGCAUAUUGAGCAUUUAAUCUCACCAAGAGCCGAAGAUUUUAGGUCACAAGGAGGUACUAUUUCAGUGAGUUCAUAAAGCUGCAUCUCUCAUACAACUUAUUUUUCCAAGGAAGACUUUAUCAAAAGCUGAAUCACAAUGUAUUCUUAUUUAUACUUCCUGAAAUGUGAAAUACCAAUAUUCUUUAGAGUUUGAAAUGGGACUUAUAGUCAUCCAAAACCAGGACCCCUGGAAGCAGAGACUGGACAUUGGCUUAUUUCUCCACCUCAGAGUAGGAGGUUUUCCACUUCUCCAUUGAGAUAUGUUCCAGGUCCAGCUGAAGAAGGCAAAAAAUGUUCUUCAGAUAACUUGUGUAGGCUAACACAUGGAGAAAUGUGGAUUUUCUAAAAUUUAAUGAAAACCUUGCCAGACUUGGUAGAAAAAUAAGAAAAUUUUACAAGAGACCAAUCUCGCUGACACAUAUUAAUUCAAAAAAUACUAAGUGAAAUAUUAGCAAACAAAAUCUAUCACCACAUUUAAAAAUAAUAAAGCAUUCUGUAGGUUGUCUCAUCACUUUGUGGAGUGCAUCCCUUGCUAUGCAGAAGGUUUUCAGCUUGAUGUGAUCCCAUUUGUCUAUUUUUAUUUUGGUUGCCUGGACUUUGGAGUUCUUAUUCAGGAAAUCUUUGCCCAGUCCAAUGUCUUAGAGUGCUUCUCCAAUGUUUUCUUCUAGAAGUUUUAGGGUUUCCGGUCCUAUAUUUGUCUUUAAUCCAUUUUGAGUUGAUUUUUGCAUGUGACAAGAGAUAGGGAUCUAGCUUCAUUCUUCUGUAUGUGAAUAUCAAUUUUCCCCCUACCAUUUAUUAGCCUGUCCUUUUCCCAAUAUAUAUUCUUGAUGACUUUGCCAAAAAUGAGUUGACUGUAAAUGCAUGGACUUAUUUCGGAGUUCUCUACCCUGUUCCACUGGUUUAUGUGUCUGUUUUUAUACCAGUACCAUGCUGUUUCAGCUACUGUAGCCACUAUAGCUUUGUGAUAUAAUUUGAAGUCAGGUAAUGUGAUGUUCUUUUUGCUUAGUAUUACUUUAGCUAUUCUGGAUCUUUUGUGGUUCUAUACAAAUUUUAAGCCUUUUUUCCCAUUUCUGUGAAUAAUGUCAUUGAUAUUUUGAUAGUAUUGCAAUGAAUCUAUAGAUUGCUUUGGAUAGUAUUGACUUUUUAAUAAUAUUGAUUCUUCCAAUAUAUGAACG